Molecule: small nuclear RNA, 23 nt
Filed under: Arabidopsis thaliana (thale cress)
Lineage: Eukaryota; Viridiplantae; Streptophyta; Magnoliopsida; Brassicales; Brassicaceae
Description: snRNA_15891
Source: RNAcentral
UUUAGCUUAAGUUUUCACACGAG